GCGCCCGGGGCCCGGGGAGUCACGCCCGGGGCCCGGGGAGCCGCGCCCGGGGUCCGGGGGGUCACGGCGGUCGCGUUCGGGAUCGUGUGGGUGCUC
RNAcentral lists this transfer RNA (96 nucleotides) under Planobispora rosea. Its description in RNAcentral is "tRNA-Pro". The record is from RNAcentral. Lineage: Bacteria; Bacillati; Actinomycetota; Actinomycetes; Streptosporangiales; Streptosporangiaceae.